This 465-nucleotide ribosomal RNA is filed under the name uncultured bacterium. RNAcentral describes it as "partial 16S ribosomal RNA". It matches the Rfam family "Bacterial small subunit ribosomal RNA", at positions 28 to 507 of the family's 1533-position model. The record is from RNAcentral.
GACGAACGCUGGCGGCGUGCUUAACACAUGCAAGUCGAACGGAAAGGCCCUGCUUGCAGGGUACUCGAGUGGCGAACGGGUGAGUAACACGUGGGUGAUCUGCCCUGCACUUCGGGAUAAGCCUGGGAAACUGGGUCUAAUACCGGAUAGGAGCCAUUUUUAGUGUGAUGGUUGGAAAGUUUUUUCGGUGUAGGAUGAGCUCGCGGCCUAUCAGCUUGUUGGUGGGGUAAUGGCCUACCAAGGCGGCGACGGGUAGCCGGCCUGAGAGGGUGGACGGCCACAGUGGGACUGAGAUACGGCCCAGACGCCUACGGGAGGCAGCAGUGGGGAAUAUUGCACAAUGGGCGCAAGCCGGAUGCAGCGACGCCGCGUGGGGGAUGACGGCCUUCGGGUUGUAAACUCCUUUCGCUAGGGACGAAGCUUUUUGUGACGGUACCUAGAUAAGAAGCACCGGCUAACUACGUG